UACCUACGGGAGGCAGCAGUGAGGAAUAUUGGUCAAUGGCCGAGAGGCUGAACCAGCCAAGUCGCGUGAGGGAUGACGGCCCUACGGGUUGUAAACCUCUUUUGUCAGGGAGCAAAGGGCGCCACGUGUGGCGUUUUGCGAGUACCUGAAGAAAAAGCAUCGGCUAACUCCGCGCCAGCAGCCGCAGUAAUACGGAGGAUGCGAGCGUUAUCCGGAUUUAUUGGGUUUAAAGGGUGCGCAGGCGGAAUGUCAAGUCAGCGGUAAAAUUUCGGGGCUCAACCCCGUCGUGCCGUUGAAACUGGCGU
Molecule: ribosomal RNA, 305 nt
Filed under: uncultured bacterium
Lineage: Bacteria
Description: bacterial SSU rRNA
Rfam family: Bacterial small subunit ribosomal RNA
Source: RNAcentral